Molecule: unclassified non-coding RNA, 382 nt
Filed under: uncultured Chlamydiales bacterium
Lineage: Bacteria; Pseudomonadati; Chlamydiota; Chlamydiia; Chlamydiales
Description: contains 16S-23S intergenic spacer region
Source: RNAcentral
UCCUAGUUAACCUAGGCAGUCUCGCUAGAGUGCCCACCAUCACGUGCUGGCAACUAACGACAAGGGUUGCGCUCGUUGCGGGACUUAACCCAACACCUCACGGCACGAGCUGACGACAGCCAUGCAGCACCUGUGCAGCUGUCUUUGGUAAGAAAACCGUAUCUCUACGGCGGUCAGCUGCAUGUCAAGUCCAGGUAAGGUUCUUCGCGUAGCAUCGAAUUAAACCACAUGCUCCACUGCUUGUGCGGGUCCCCGUCAAUUCUUUUGAGUUUUACCCUUGCGAGCGUACUCCCCAGGCGGUAUACUUAAUGCGUUAGCUACGGCACUGCAAGGUUUUUAAGCCCCACAACGCCUAGUAUACAUCGUUUAAGGCAAGGACUAC